GUGUCAGCAGCCGCGGUAAUACGGAGGGUGCAAACGUUGCUCGGAAUCAUUGGGCGUAAAGCGAGCGUAGGCGGUCUCGUAAGUCGGAUGUGAAAGCCCUCGGCUCAACCGAGGAAGUGCACCCGAAACUGUGAGACUUGAGUGCCGGAGAGGGUGACGGAAUUCCCGGUGUAGAGGUGAAAUUCGUAGAUAUCGGGAGGAACAUCAGUGGCGAAGGCGGUCACCUGGACGGUAACUGACGCUGAGGCUCGAAAGCGUGGGGAGCAAACAGGAUUAGAAACCCUCGUAGUCC
RNAcentral lists this ribosomal RNA (292 nucleotides) under uncultured bacterium. RNAcentral describes it as "partial 16S ribosomal RNA". It matches the Rfam family "Bacterial small subunit ribosomal RNA", at positions 505 to 796 of the family's 1533-position model. The record is from RNAcentral.